GUGAAUCAUCAAAUUUUUGAACGCAAAUUGCACCCUCUGGUAUUCCGGGGAGUAUGCCUGUUCGAGGGUCGUUAGAAGAAAAAACGACGCCUCGCUCUUUUUCUUGUGGGUGACCGCGUCGGAAUUGAGCCGUCUCUCAAAUGCUAAUUCAUGUCAAAGUGGCUUAAAAUUCAUCCAUCCGGUACGAUUACAGCG
This 195-nucleotide unclassified non-coding RNA is filed under the name Glomeraceae sp. RNAcentral describes it as "partial contains 5.8S ribosomal RNA and internal transcribed spacer 2". The stretch from base 1 to 71 matches the Rfam family "5.8S ribosomal RNA", at positions 84 to 154 of the family's 154-position model. The record is from RNAcentral. Lineage: Eukaryota; Fungi; Glomeromycota; Glomeromycetes; Glomerales; Glomeraceae.